RNAcentral lists this ribosomal RNA (690 nucleotides) under Pseudomonas putida. Its description in RNAcentral is "bacterial SSU rRNA". It matches the Rfam family "Bacterial small subunit ribosomal RNA", at positions 8 to 691 of the family's 1533-position model. Lineage: Bacteria; Pseudomonadati; Pseudomonadota; Gammaproteobacteria; Pseudomonadales; Pseudomonadaceae. The record is from RNAcentral.
AGAGUUUGAAUUAUGGCUCAGAUUGAACGCUGGCGGCAGGCCUAAACACAUGCAAGUCGAGCGGAUGACGGGAGCUUGCUCCUUGAUUCAGCGGCGGACGGGUGAGUAAUGCCUAGGAAUCUGCCUGGUAGUGGGGGACAACGUUUCGAAAGGAACGCUAAUACCGCAUACGUCUUACGGGAGAAAGCAGGGGACCUUCGGGCCUUGCGCUAUCAGAUGAGCAUAGGUCGGAUUAGCUAGUAGGUGAGGUAAUGGCUCACCUAGGCGACGAUCCGUAACUGGUCUGAGAGGAUGAUCAGUCACACUGGAACUGAGACACGGUCCAGACUCCUACGGGAGGCAGCAGUGGGGAAUAUUGGACAAUGGGCGAAAGCCUGAUCCAGCCAUGCCGCGUGUGUGAAGAAGGUCUUCGGAUUGUAAAGCACUUUAAGUUGGGAGGAAGGGCAGUAAACUAAUACCUUGCUGUUUUGACGUUACCGACAGAAUAAGCACCGGCUAACUCUGUGCCAGCAGCCGCGGUAAUACAGAGGGUGCAAGCGUUAAUCGGAAUUACUGGGCGUAAAGCGCGCGUAGGUGGUUCGUUAAGUUGGAUGUGAAAGCCCCGGGCUCAACCUGGGAACUGCAUCCAAAACUGGCGAGCUAGAGUAUGGUAGAGGGUGGUGGAAUUUCCUGUGUAGCGGUGAAAUGCGU